AUGCUGAAAGGACUGGAAGCAAUAAAUUAUUCCUCCAAGCUCUACUCUGAAACAAGGGAGUCCAAAUUCAUAAAAAAUGCCAGUGCCAGAGCUUUUGUUUUCACUUGCCUCAGUCUACUGUGAAACCAUGUGGACAGCAUUUUAAACCAGUAUGAAAUAAAGAGAGAAGAAUGCAACCA
Molecule: long non-coding RNA, 179 nt
Filed under: Anser cygnoides (Swan goose)
Lineage: Eukaryota; Metazoa; Chordata; Aves; Anseriformes; Anatidae
Description: lncRNA (ENSACDG00005004505.1)
Source: RNAcentral